Oryctolagus cuniculus (rabbit) is the source of this 1112-nucleotide non-coding RNA. The record is from RefSeq and is a predicted model, not a curated record. NCBI's taxonomy places the organism in Eukaryota, Metazoa, Chordata, Mammalia, Lagomorpha, Leporidae.
ACUGGCAGUUUUAUCUAUGGCACGAUCCACACCUGAUUUACAUCCUAGGCCCCACCCCCAUCCUCAUGGGAUUCGCUGCUCCUGCUUCCCUGCCCGCCUCCGGCAAAGUGUUAAAAGGGCCCCUUCCUGAACACGGGGCUCUCGCUCUCCUCGCUAGCUCCUCUCCUCUCUCUCCUCUCUGCUCUCUCUGCUCUGUCUCUCUCUCCUCUGUCUCUCUCUCUCCUCUGUCUCUCUCUCCUCUCUCUCCUCACUCUCUCCUCUGUCUCUCUCCUCGCUAGCUCUCUCUCCUCUCUGCUCUCUCUCCUCUCUGUCUCUCUCUCUCCUCGCUCUCUCUCCUCUCUGCUCUCUCUCUCACUCUCUCUCCUCGCUAGCUCCUCUCCUCUGUCUCUCCCUCUUAUACUCUCCUCUCUUUCCCUCCUCACCCCUCCCCUCCUGCCUGCUGGGUUUCCCCAGUAAACCCCCUCCCUUACUCCAGUGUUUGGUGUGUUUUGUGACGGCUAACUUUGGUGCGUUGGCCGGGAAAACCUUACCUUGCUGACCCCGCGUCCCCCAUGACUUUGCUGUCCCUUUGAGGAUCUCUGAGCUGCUCUGGGGUCCUGAUUCCUGCCGGUCACAAAACACAGCCCCGGAACUCCUUCCACGCCACCAAACACUCCACAGUCUCCAUCCACACACCGGCCUUCCAAAUUCUGAGCUCCCGUGUCCCGUCGGCUUUCUCCAGGAAUCAGGGCCUCGGCCAUCCUCUGCUGCCUUUGUCCGCCAACUCGCCAGUGUAAGAAGUGUCACCAAGGGGCCGGCGUCGUGGCACGGGGACGAGGCCACUGCUGACGAUGCCGAAUCCUAACCGGACGCAGGUUCCCGUCCCACGUGCUCCACUUCAGCUAAUGCGUCUGAGAAAGCAGCAAAAGAUGCGCCCAAGGGCUUGGGCCCCUGCCACCCGCGUGAGAGACCGGGUUGGAGUUCCAGGCUCCUGACUUUGGACCGGCCCAACUCCAGCCGUUGAAGCCAUGUGGGGAGUGAACCAGUGGAUGGAAGACCUCUCUGUCUCUCCCUCUUUCUUGUAAUGCCGCCUUUCAAAUAGAUCUUUAAAAAAAUUAAAAUCACCCAGUUUA